CGGUCGCGGCGCAGGAAGUGGGCUCUCGGCUCCGCUUCAUUCCUUUCCCCUGAGCCAGGCGUCUUCGCGCCUUUAUCAAAGUUAUUUUUACGCGUUGAGAAAUUUUCAAGUGAGCACUUGUGCGGUGGCACCUUCUCCUUGUCGCGGUUGGGCCUUGAAGAAAUUCCCCGGCUUAUUUAUAGCCCGUGUUUAUUUUUACUCAAGUCCUGAACUUGAGCCUCUAGAAGUAGUCUGAGCGGCGGCAGAUCGGGAGGGAAUCCUGGCUUUGCGACCACGGAUCCAGUAACUGGGUCCGUUCUGUGACCUGGGGGAGCCCCCGCGGGGCCGAGAAGAGGAACAGACCCAAGUUCAGUGCCGGGCUAGGGGCGCUGCCGGAGACCCCGUGCAGGCAAAAAGCGACCUUGGCCAUCCAGCCCCUCCCGCAGUGCACUUUAAUCUCAACCCCCCACUCCAGGUGCAAAAUCAGACCGCCCUCGUCCUCCCUUACUGGUUGUUCCCUUCUGAGAUCGGAUCAGUGGCAUCAGACUUUUGAGGAAAGUGAUGACUUAGGUUUCUCUUGACCCUGAAGCUCAGACUUACACAUCCUCUUAGUCUCUUGGGAGCUCCAUGCGGUGACGUGGAGCCCUUCACAGAAACAGAGGUUGUCCAGAGAGGGUGUGGAUUUACAGUCCUGGAAGACAAUUUUGACAAAAACUCCGGAUUUGGCCUUGAACGUUCGGAUUCCCUAUGUGACUGGCUUGCUCGAGCCUGAUGGAGCCCGCCUUUCAGGGAGGGGAAUGCCUACUUCAGUCAGCUGGAUGCUGACCAAAAACAUCCACCUUGUCCGGGCACUUGGUCCUGACCCAAGGUGCUGACCCACCCUAAAGCAGGAGAUGGGAAGAGUACGUUUAAUGUGAUUUCAAAAACAUUGGGCUUUUGGAAGGAAACAUUCUAAAUAAGCAUUGCUCUUCAUGGUCCUAGACAUGAACAGAUGCCAGUCUCAGCAUCCAUUAAAAUUCAUCAACAACGGGACUGCAGAAGGUGGCCGGAUCUGGAGUUGAUGCUUUCUGUCCAGAACAGACAGGACUGGCUGUGCAGAGGUGUCAUGGGAUGAAGGCACCUGAAGGUCCCCUCUAUUCACAGGGGUUCUAAAACCGAGCUUCUCAGGAAACCUAGAAAUAAGAUAUUUUUUCCUCCUAAAUGAUUUUUAAUAAUGGCAGUCACAUCAACCAUAAUUUAUUUCAACCUCAGUAGUUGCAAGUAUGUAAUAAUUUACCUACCUGUUGUAAAGGAAGUUUUGCUGAGCAAGAAAGAUCAGAGGGAAAACAUCUAAUUUAUGUAACAGAAAAACAUGUUUGUCUUGAUUGUAGAAGCCCUCAUUUGUAUAUUAUUAAUUUAAUGUUGAUUUAAAUGAUCCUUCUCUGUUCCCUAAAUAAAUCUGCCAGUGUCUUCAGGGGGCAAGAUUC
This is a long non-coding RNA of Balaenoptera musculus (blue whale), 1445 nucleotides long. RefSeq lists it as uncharacterized. The transcript is spliced from 4 exons. The record is from RefSeq and is a predicted model, not a curated record. Lineage: Eukaryota; Metazoa; Chordata; Mammalia; Artiodactyla; Balaenopteridae.